GGAUGUGAGGGCAAUCUGGUUGCGAUAUCUGUCAUCCCAUUGAUCACCAGGGUUGAUUCUGCUGAUCUGGCUCACUAGGCAUGUGACCCCUUCCUCCUUCACUGCUCCAUGUGUGUCCCUCCCAAAGUUGUGCACUGGGUAGAAGCAGACAACCACCCCUGAGAGAGGAAGACUGUUUCUUUGGUCAAGGGUACAGGGCAGCUUUGCUCCCCUGCUAGAAUCUCCAAACAAGCUCUCAAGAAAUAAACAAAAUCUUGAACAUAGUCCACCUUAACAAAUUCUCUGAGGUUUACUUCACAAAUAAUCUACAAGA
Non-coding RNA from Heterocephalus glaber (naked mole-rat), 313 nucleotides. The record is from Rfam. NCBI's taxonomy places the organism in Eukaryota, Metazoa, Chordata, Mammalia, Rodentia, Bathyergidae.